Lytechinus pictus (painted urchin) is the source of this 12831-nucleotide long non-coding RNA. RefSeq lists it as uncharacterized. The transcript has 2 exons. Lineage: Eukaryota; Metazoa; Echinodermata; Echinoidea; Temnopleuroida; Toxopneustidae. The record is from RefSeq and is a predicted model, not a curated record.
UAGGUGGAACUGUCACAUCAGGCAAAGUGAAGUUAGACAAAACUGUCACAUCAGACAGAGAGCAAGAACCAUAGUUCAGACUAGGAUCCAAAUCAAGGGACUUUGUGAAACUGUAGAUCACAUUGGAUUGGCAACAAUCCCAAAUUACCAAAGACUGAAAAUCAUCGGCAGAAAGUGGAGAGCAACUCGAUCCACUCUGAGUAGUAAAGGUAACAUUGCCAUGCCAACAAUCAAUGCAAUGGAGUGUAGAAGUUCUGAAAUCACUGACAAGUGAACCCGGAGGAAAACAUGAACUGCUUUCAUGAUUGUUUGUAACUGUACACUCUUGGAACAAUGAGGGCUCUCUGGCCUUGGUAUCAUGACCAGUUACUUCACUGAUAUUAAAUACUACAUCAUCUUUAUUUGUUUCAUUUGCAUCUGUUAUGUGAUCAAUAAGCACAUAAUCUCCAUAAGUUUUAUAACUGCACCAACAUAAGCUUCAUAUCCAUAUUCCUCAUUACAUUGUUUCACAUCACCUUGGUCACUUUCAUACAUCAGACUGUCACUAGCUGCAUACUCAACCUUUUCAUUCCAUCCUUUCAUGUCAGCACUGUUUGUUACAUUUACCUCAUCAUCACUAGUCAUGUAUCCAUCAUCAGCAUUACAUUGUUUCACAUCAACUAUGUUAGAGUCAUGACCCCCACCAUCACUACUCUCGUAUCCAUCAUCUACAUUGCAUGGUUUCAUUUCACCUUUGUUAGUUUCAAGCACCUCACCAUCACUAGUCGCAUCUCUUCGGUCUUUAUUCCGAGACGUACAAUCGUUACUUUUAUAUUCAUUCAUCUCACUAUCACUUGCCUCAUAUUCAUCAUCAUCUUUGUGUAUGUAAGUGUUUACUGGUGUGACCGUGAUCCCUAAUGUAACAUGAUUAUCAAUUCCAUGACUAACAUCCAUUGUACUCUCAUUUUUCUCACAUUCCCGAUCAUUUAAAAUGUAAUUCGUAAUUGAAUAUAUGCCAGCGAGAUCAACAUCACGAAAACAUGGCGGAGGUGCUUGAGAUGACGAACCAUAGCAGAAAGUUGCACUAUCACCAAACAUGAUCAACCGCUUGGAGGGGCGAACAGAAAUAUCGUUCUGCUCCAUGAACGGAGCCCCAGCAACAAUACCACAAGAACCACUCAAGUAGCCAUCCUGGACUACCACACCGUCAAACCAAAGCUCACAUCCUGCAUAAAAUAAUGUUAACUGGGUUAAACUGACCACCUAGGUCUGAUCUACUAGACUAAGCAUGGACACAUCAUCAACGAAACAAUCACCAAAACCAAAAUCAUUAACAAGAAUCUCAACACCAAUAUCAUCUGCUACAGAUUCAGUGAUUAAAUUGAGCUGUGAUCCGCUCUUUAAUUCAACAUUAAUCCGCGAAUUAUCAAUCGUGCGGGCACAAAAACAAGGUUUAUUCAACAUCUGCCUGCUAGCAGAAAACUGGCGCCACCCUGGUUGCGACGACCUGCUAGCCGAACGCCAGCUCGAUGCAUCGUGAACGGCUGCCGCGGCGAUCAACGCGACCCUGGCCAUGGUAUAUGUGGGACUACACAAAUUUAUAUUCGGGAAGAAACCCAACCUCUCGUCUACCACCGAUAGAACACGGCGUGCCUAACCCCAAAUUAUAGGGUUAAAUUAACUUGGGAAGGCUUAUUUAUACUCGAUGGGUGGAUAAAUCCAGCUGCCACCACGCCAUGGGUUAAUAAGGGCCAACUUAAUGUAAAAGAAGUAAAUAAACUAGACAACUUUGAAGUUACGUGUUACUGUCUUUAAUAACCAUGGCCAAGAGACCAACACAAGGUGGCGCGCUUACACUUAGCGCAAGUAACAUCGAAUCAUCACUAUAAUACUAAAACAACAUACUGGCGGUGGAUUCCCGUGUCGUAGCAACCCUUGUCCUUGUUUGCUAAUCUUCAGUGCAGCGUCUCGCGGCUCUCUUCGUGCUGCCUUGGUUGCGUUUAGCUCAUCAGGCGCAGUUCCGUUAGGAGGCCAAGGCCCGCGAUACCACGAGUAUCAGAUCGUCAGGUCUCGAGAUUUCUUCCUUGACGAAUUGAAGGUCGCUUUUUGCACUCGUCCAUCACUUCCUGUCGCUUCCUUGGAAGAUUUUCAUCUGAGGAGACGAGUCUCUCUCAGCUCUCAUGUAGUCUACAAAUGUAGACCCACAUCUGCAAUGUGUGUAUCACAGCUGAUUCAACGAGUCUGCAUAGCAGACUAGGUCUACUGAGGCUGCAAAUGGCUCGCUUCGCUCGCACUUUCAGGCUGGUUUGCUUUGCAAACCAGCAGAUCCCACCUCACAAGCCAUUCAGAGUCUGCAUAGCAGACUAGCUCUCAUGGUGGAGGCCUAUGCAUCCUCAUCUCCCUGUUCCCUUGCUUUUCUUGUUCUAGACAUGCCUCCCCACGUUUUUGAAUCCGUGCUGGGCUAGCAUAGUUAAAGGGAUGUAUCCCAGUUAUUGAAAUAAAUCUUGAAAAUACUUCGUUGAUUUUCUUAUUUAAGAGAUAACUGUGGAUACAUCCCUUUAAACCCUCCCACCAGCCCCUCGCCAUGCAUGGCAACACGUCUCCUUGGUUCACACUCGGAAGAGGAAAUGACGUGGCCGUGAUUCAUCAACUGGGCGUAAUGCUCGGGUCAGCGAGAUGGGUCACCGCGCAAGGAAAUUUGUGUGUGUUGUCUUCAUUUAUCUGAAUGAAUAAGCAUAGUGUAAAGGAAUGUAUCCAGUUAUCUCCUAAAUAAGAAAUCAAUGUAUUUUCAUGUUUUCUCUCAUUUUUUUGCUUUUUCACAUAUUCAGACUCCAGAAGGGGGGGGGGGGGCACUCACAUUUAUUGGUAGUAUGGGGAUGUGCCGCUUUGAUAACCCCCUUUCAGACCUAAUUUUUUGUUCUCUAGAUACUCCAAAUGACAAAAAUUUCGUUCAGAAGCCGCCCCGCCCUGCUUGCAAGUCCCCCGUUUCCGAAACAUCUGAGUUCUCUUGCCCAGCCAAAAUUGUCCAGCGCGAGAGCUGCACGUACAGCUUUCCAUGCACCACUAUCGCCCAUUUAUACAUGCACAGCGCUAGCGUGCACCUACCUUCUAUACCAUAAUCAAGUUCCGUAGACCCUGCUUUUCACACUGCCCACAUAUAUUUAGUUCCCCCGUAUUGAACCGUUGUGGUCAGUUCUUUAGACCCCCAUUUCAGGGUUUCAUAAGGCACACCCCCAUCAAAAAUAAUUUGAGUGCCCCUCCCCACUGGCAUUUAGACAUCCCAUCUCAUACUUUUUUUGGUCGAAAAAUGAAGCGGCCAACAGCAAAAAAGAAAUUGAAUAUGAUUUAUAUAUUCUUAUGCAUUUUUUUAAUUAAGCCAUUUUACUUUGAUAAGCUUUAGGUCUGGAUUGCAGCCUGUAAUUGUCUUUUAAUGCCCUUGUUAUUUUGGAAAACUAUGAUAUAUGAGCCUGUCUGUACAUGUACAUGAUUUGGUUAGCCAGCAGGUAAUGAGUACUAACCUCCACAAAGCACUGGUUUGACAAAUCCAUAAUAUUCUAUCCAAUAUUACUAUCCGAUUGGAAGGUCUUGACUUUGACAUGGCAGAAUAUCUUAUUUUUAUAAUGUUUGAGAAAUGAAUAGAAAACCCCUGGAUGAAUUUUUUUUUCUCUCUGGGAAAAACAAAUUGUAGUCAUUUUCCGUAAUCAUCGAGGGACACGUUCUUGUCACCGCUGUGAUGAUAUCUUAAUAACUACAGAUAACUUUGCCUGAGUUGAAUAUAUUAGUACAAAAUAGAUUUGACGUAAAACUUGAACCUGGAAGAGUAAUCACUUUCAGCAGCUUCAAAGCUAUCCCAGGAUGAAAACAUUCUGUGUAUCAGUGCGAGGUGCCAUGGUGAGGUAAAAUAAUGGGGAAAAAAAACAUUUGCCGCAGUGGCAACUCCCAUUUUCAGCGUCAAAUCUGUGUUUCAGUGGCAAAUCUAAAAACAGCGUCAAGUUUGCAUUUCAUGAAACAUUGACACAGAAAGUCAAAAGUUUUAUGAAACGAGGCCCCUGAUCUAUUAUGCUUUUAGUUGGGAGAAUAUUUGACUAUAUGAUGAAAGUUUACCUGUAUAUUGUAAUCCAAUUUUUUUUCUUUGGCAUACUUCCUUUAAUAUUUUUCUUGAUUUUUUUUGGUAAAUUUGCAUAACAUUGUUUGGUGAUAUAUCAUUUGUUAGUCAGAUAUAUCUCUCAGAGAGUUGCUUGUUUUAUUUCUUUUCCAGGUAAUUACACAGUGAAAGAAUUGGAAAGAAGAUGUUGUGAGUGGGAGAUGGCUAAGAAUGCAGCAGAUGAGUUAAACCACUGUGCAAGUGGUUCUUCCUCUACAUUUAAAUCUGCAGUUUUGAUUGACAAUAAUCAAGUCAAAGAUUGUAAUAACUGUGCUUACAAUGACUGUACAUCUGACUGCUGUUCAUGCUAAAACUUCAUUGAACAAAGUGUAAUACGAUGAAUAAAGCAUGGGGUGAUAAUCUAAUUGGAGCUUUCAUCAGUAGCGUGAGUGAUAUCAAGAUGUGUAUCUCAAAUCUGUAAGUUUGUUUUCAUUGAAAACUCUUUGAAACACAGGCUAAGAAUUCAGUGGGUUUUUUUUGUUUUUUUUUGGGGGGGGUCAAUUUUCAAAAAACUUAUUGAUUUCUAUGGGAGAUGAUUAUAUUUCAAUUCAAGUUACAAUAGGCAGGGGUGUGAGUGGUCACAAAUGAAAGAUCUGAAAAAAGCUGAAGAGUGUAGAAAAAGUCUGAAAUGGAAAGAGCUCUCAGACUUUUUGUACAGAGGAAAGCCAAAAAUAAGCAAAAAAUCUUAACUCUCACGCCCCUGAAUAGAGUACCGAAGCAUUGACUUCAGUUGUCAUGGCUGCCUGGUUCUACACAAAUGAACCCGCUGAAUGAAAGCGUGCAUUUCUCAUAGGAGAAAAUGGCGUCACACUUCGGUACUCUAUACAGGUCACUGUCUGGUGUAUUUUCAUACUAUACUGUCUUAUUGUUAUUAUUAUUAGUAGUAAUUAUGGUAGAUUCUCAUCAGUUGUUAUUAUCAUUAUUUUUUUUUCUUGUGCAUAGCAGAGCGAGACUAUAGGCGCCGCUUUUCCGACGUCUGCGGCGUCAACAUCAAAUCUUAACCGAAGGUUAUUUGAAAUGUCAUUAUAACUUAAAAAGUAUAUGGACCUAGUUAAUUAAACUAGGACAUAAGGGUAAUUGAGUAUUACUAAACAUCCUGCUUGAGUUUCGGUCACAUGACCAAGGUCAUUUAGGGUCAAUGAACUUAGACCAUUUUGGGGGAAUCAAUAUCGAAAUCUUAAGCAAGGUUAAGUUUUUGAAAUGUCAUCAUAACUUAGAAAGUAUAUGGACCUAGUUAAUUAAACUAGGACAUAAGGGUAAUUAAGUAUUACUAAACAUCCUGCUUGAGUUUCGGUCACAUGACCAAGGUCAAAGGUCAUUAAGGGUAAUGAACUUAGACCAUUUUGGGGGAAUCAAUAUCGAAAUCUUAACCAAGGUUAAGUUUUGAAAUGUUGUCAUAACUUAAAAAGUAUUUGGAUAUAGUUCAUGAAACUUAGACAGAAUGGUAAUAGUGUAUCCUUGCAGGCCCUGCCUGAGUUUCACGUCACUUGACCAAGGUAAAAGGUCAUUUAGGGUCAACAAACUUUGACCAUGUUGGAGGUAUUUGUGGAAUUGUCAUCAAAACUUUAAAAGUUUAUGGAACUAGUUUAUGAAAUUUGGAAAUAAGAGUAACCAUGUAUCCCUGAAUAUCUUUCCUGCAUUUCAGGUCACCUGACCAAGAUCAAAUGACCACAAUCAAUCGUCAUUUAAGGUCAAUGAACUUUGGGGGUAUUUGUUGAAUUGGCAUCACAACUUAGAGAGUUUAUGGAUCUACACAUGUAGUUCAUGAAACAUAGACAUAAGGGUUAUCACGUAUGGUUUGCACACGUCUUUCGUUACAUGAUUAUGGUCAAAGGUCAUGUUGGGUCAAUGGACAUAGUAUUUUAUUGUCAUAUGAAUUGUGAGUGUUUUCUUUUGUGAAUAAUUAUUCCAUAGCUGUUUUCAAAGUCUGCACUGUUGCUAAAUUGAAUUUUGUAAUGCAGGCGAGACUGCCAGAGGCGUUCCACUUGUUAUGAAAUAUUCAGAUUGUUAUCAAUAUUACUACUGCUACUACUAUUAUUAUUAUUAUACCCCGCUUUGAAGGGGUAUAUACAUGUACUGUAGGAAUCAGCGCAGGUCGGUCAGUCCGUUGCAAAUCUUGGGCAUCGAACUACUUCCUCAGUUUUUAAUCAAUUUUCAUGAAAUUUUGAACACAUACAUGUAUUGGUGUUGGAGUGAAGAUGUGCAAGACACACUUUUCGCAUGUUUCGGAAAUGGUGUUGCCAUGGUAACGACUUAUGACAAAAAUUGGGUAAAUAACUUUCAACCAAUUCUCAUGAAAUUUGGCUCACACAUUACUUUCAAGGUAAAAUAUAAUCAGUACAUAUUUUUGCAUGUGUUUGAAAUCAUGUUGCCAUGGUAACAAUAUGUUAUAUGGCAAGAAUUAGGCAAAAAUCUUGGGGUUUGAACUACUUCAUCAAUAUUUAACAAAUUCUCAUGAUAUUUUGCUCACACCUCUCGGGGUAAAGAUGGGCAAGACAUAUUUUUUCCAUGUGUUGGAAACUGUUGCCAUGGUAACAGUGUAGGUUGAGGUAUCAAUCACCUUCAGUGAUAGUUCUAGUUAUUAUUAUCAUCAUCAUCGUACUUAAUCAUUAGUCUUUGUAAAAAAAGUAAGUUUCAAUUUGAUUGAGAGGAGCCAGAAAAACUAUAUUAAAGACAGAUAUAUGCAUAUUCCAGUUGUACCAUGUGAACAGGUGUCAAAUCAACUUUCAUAUUGGGCAACAAAAUGAUCAACACCAUUUCUCUCAAGUCAACUGACCAAAUCAUGGUCCUUUGAGAACAUUACAGACUAUCAAACAAACAAGAAAUCAGAGAUCGACAAUUUUAUGAAUGUCUCACAUAUAGGGGGUCGGACGUACAUUAUUUAUGGAAUUGCCCUAUUGAAAUAAUGCAAUAAAAGUUAAACGUUUUUAGCAUUCCUUCAUUAUGAACUGUUUGCAAAAAUUCUGUAAAUCAAAAUGAAUGAAAACUCUCUUUAGAUAUAGAAUAUGUGCAUGGUCUUAGUAAAUAAAGUGCUAAGCAUUCUUUUACUAUUGGGUUAUACAUAUGAUUACUCCUAAUUAUGUUGUGUUGUUUAAUCUUAUUUUGUGUGUAUAGGCUCAUGUAUUCUGGAAAGAAAAAUAUACCUUUCUUUUGAAUUAUAGUCAUGAUAUUCUUUUAUUCAUAUUUACCAUGAUUAAGUUUGAUAUUUUAUUGAUGACAAUCAGGAGGAUGUUCAUUUUAAAUGAGAAUUGUUAGUUUCAUUUAUCUUACAAUAUCUUGAAGGUAAGCAUGGUGGGGGAGGCGUCCAAAUUGGUGUAAAGAUAUCACAAUGGUUUGUAGUCCAUUGUUGGCAGUUACAUGUAUAUGUAUCUACCAUCUCUGAGCACAAGUGUGCUUUAGAAGGACAUUAAAAGUGAUAUUUGCUUGUCUCCUUAGAGAUAUUAUAGUGAUCAUCAUGGGACUGAAUACUCCAUAUAUUGUAGAGAGGAGUACAGUACAUGUAUAUAUACAUUCACAUUCAAUUCCUGCAUUUUGCAAGCAUGAAGUUUUGCUUUUAUUAAAGAGCUUAGGGAUAUGUUAAGGUCAAAAUUAAUUUUAGUAAAUUAAGUAGUCAAUAGGUUAAUUGAGAUGUAAGUAAUGAUUGUCUUUAUGGUAGAUAUGUUUGAUGAGUCUUCAGAGCCUUGUUGGAUCUUCGUGCCUUGGAUAAUUCAGCCAACCAUUUCAUUCUUGAUAUCACUUUACAAGCAUCACUAUAUAUAUUCAAUUUGUGUUAAGUUUUAUACUGUUGUAAAUGUACAGAGGUGAGCAUAAUUUUAAUGGGCCAUUGUAUUGUAUGAUUAUAAUCAAUGGUAAAUUGUAUAUUUAGAUAUUUGUUUUUCUAUAAUCAAAGUAUGGCAUAUUAAAACCCUAAUGUGUGUUGGUGUGCCCUUAGGAUGGCAGUGGUUUCUUGUUUGAAGCUUGUCAUUAGCAUAACAAAAUAAAAGUCAAUCCUAGCAUUGGUCAAAAAGUAAUAUUUGUCUGCUCACCUGUGCAUGACUUGCACAGAACUUGAUAAAAAAAAAAGAAACUGUAUGAACAAGGAUUUCUACCAAAUUAUUUUGCUCAUGCCUUUAAAAGUGUUUAUUUUUUAUUAUUUGUUUUUAAUUUUUUUUUUUUUUUUUUUUUUGGGGGGGGGGAAUCAUUUUCAAUGGUACAUGUAUUUUUUACAACUGCUGAUACUGAAAGUGGUAGUAUAAAGAAACUAUAACUUUGAUUUCACGAAUUGCUGUUGUAUUUCAUUGAAUGUGGAUAAUGAAAUAUCAGAAGAUUACUGAAAAAUAUAAUACAUUUUUGCAGAACUGGGUUAGAAACCAGCUAGCUGCUCAUUGUUUGAAAUUAGGUCUUUAAAAAAGUCAUACAGUGUAGUUAACAUGUUUUUUGAAAUUAUAAUUUGAUUUGCGUUUGUUACCUAUAUUAUACUUAUGCUGGUAUAGGAGUUAACAUAAUUGCCCAUUACUUACACAGGCUAGUGAUUAGAGUAGGCCUAGGGAGCACGUAAGUCUGUUUGACAAGUGCAAGUCAAGAUUAUUCAGAUAUCCCAUACUGGUCUUGGUCUUGCAUGUAAUACUCAGAAUAUUCCAGUCAAUAAUGGAAAUAUAUAUAUUAAAGUUGAAACAUAUGAACAGUGACAUGUCUGUGUGCUGUUGGUUGUAAAUAUUCUUGAAUCAGUCAUUAUAACAGCAUGCAUGUGUACUUUAUCAAUUUUUAGAUUGAUUAUUCUAGGUGUCUUUCACAGAUAUCAAAUUAUUUCCAGCUUGCCAUAAAGAAAAAUGUUUAAGAAUUAAUAUGUAGUUGGUAGCAUUUUGAUGUCAUUAAAUGAUUUGCUUUAGUAAUCAAAAAGAUGUUUGUAAUCAAAACUAACUGAAAUAAAUGUGACAAUGAGUGAAUGAGAAAUUGGCCAGAUUAACCCUAACUAGGCUGGGUUAGGGUCUCAUAAUCCCCCCCCCCCCUCCCUCAAAGUUUAGUGUGAAUUAAUUCUACCUUUCUAAAAACCAUAGGGUUAGGGUUUCUAACCAUCAUAUUAGGAUGUUUAUGUAUGGAUUUAGAUCACCCCCCCCCCCCCGAUUUCACAAUAUUACAUUGAUAUAAUAGUAUCAAUUUAAAAAAAAAGGAAAUGUAGAGUUUUGUAGCUUAUGCUAUGGGCAAAAUGUGUGCUGAUCCUUUCAAAAAGCCAAUUGUGUGGUAAUCAUUAUAAUGUACCAAAUAGCUGGGCUUUAUUAGGGUUAAACUUUGCCACUUUCUCUUUUUUUAUUUGGUGAAACAGAUGAGAAAAUUAAUCUAUGAUCAGGACAAAAUAUUCAGUGUUUUUGUAAAUUAUGUUAUAUAGCAUGAAAUGCAAGAUGGUGUUUGUAACAAAUGUGUUGUAUUGUAAUUGGUAGUGUGUCAAAUUGAUGAAAAUAUAGGGGAAUUACAGGGAGGCUCUUGGCUGAACAUAGUUACAUCUUAAUACAGUAAAAUUCACUGGGCAAAAUGCUGAAAAUUUCAUCAAAAUCUGAUCACAAAUAAUGAAAUGUAAAGUUUAGCAAAACAGUUUAAUGCCCAUUGUCAUGAAUAUUCGUUAGGUGGACUGGCCACAAUACACUUUAGCUUUUAUGUUACAUGUAUUAAAUGAAAUCACAAUUAUUUCAUUUUUUCAUACAUGUGUUGAUGUCUCUGUUGUAUCAAUAAUAUGUUACUGCUGUGAAUAUCUAAUUCAGUUUUCAGUCCAUUUUAAUAAGCGUAAUUUCAUGUAGUACAAUACAAAAGCACAAGUAGGAAUUUGACAUCAGUUUGCUCAUUGAAUAUUCAUGAAUACAUGCCUAGAACUGUUUCAUCAAAAUAAUGCAAAUCUUUAAAAUGCUGUAACAGUGCUAUGCUUUGUCCAGUUUUGAUGUCAUUUUCAGUGUUUUGUUUGUCUGAUUUAUAUUAUUUUCAGCCAGAAGUACCCCUUUAAAACAAUCUGAUGUAGUGAACAGAGGAUAAAAUACAUAUAUUUUGACAUGUUGACAUGUUUUUCUUUUAUUGCAAUUUUUGCGUGGAAUUAGAAAAAUUUGCUGUGAUAUCUUGGCAUAAAGCAUCUCUUUGGUGAAAAAAAUUACAUAGCAGCUGGAAAUCAUUAUAUUUCUAUUUUAAGGACUUUUGUAUAUAAUGAGGUUUAUGAGGAAUUGUCUACGUGGUCUGUUUUAAUUUUUUUUAUGUCAAUGUUAAUCAUAUUCUUAAGUAGAAAAUAAUUUGAGUACUUUGGAAAUACUUUUAACCUGUUUUUAUCAGCUGUAUACAACAUCACAAACCUAUAUGAUGCAGACUUGUUUUAACUUAAGAUAAAAAGUUUAUUGUGUAACAAUUCAAACAAUUGAUGGUAUUCCAGAAUACAAAAUGUUUUAAAAAGCUUAAAAGGAAUGGAAUUGUUAUUACUUUAACCAUUAUUGUAUCGUUGCACAAAUCAAUUGAUUGGUCAUUUUCCAAAGUACAACAAAGUAUUUUUUUGGGUAUAAUUGAUUUAUCAUCAAGUUUAUUUUUUAAAGUUUCAAAUCGCUAUUACAGGUAUGUAUUUAUACAUUAAUAUUUCUAUAAUCAUUCUGCUGCAUUUGAAAUGAAAAAAAACUAUAGCAAUGCAGACCUCUCAACAUUUCUGAAAGAAAAGUAGGGAGGAUUUUUCUGUAAAAAAGAAGAAGUUAUAUUAUCCUGAAAAAAAAUUGUAUUAAAAGGAAGUGAGAAUCAUAUUAACGUGUAUCCAAUAUGCAGUGUGGUCAAGGUACCAAUUUUCAUCAGAAAAUGGGGAUAUGUGGAUCCUUAUCAUAUGAUUGGCUGAACUCAAUCACAUGACCAACCAUUUAUUCUAAUAUCUAACAGGAAAAUGAUCUGAUUGGAUCCAAUGACUAGUUCGUAUAACGGUCAUGGUUUUGAGAUGAGGAUGGUUUUUAUCAAAUAACAAAAAUCAAACAGCACUGCAUUAACAAAAUACACAUUGUUUUGCUUGGGGUUUAGAAUGAUAACACACACUUGUUACCUUUGAAUCAGUCCAAAUGCCCUCGGCUAUGCUUCGGGCGUGUUAGAACUGCUCCAAAGGUACCUCAUGCGUUUGAUUCUUACUAAUGAUCUUGAUGAUGUGUAUUUUAUGUAUAUCAUUAGCCUGGUUCCAUGAUAUUCACUCCGGCGACAAUUUCUCCGCUAUAAAAUCCACAAACAACUAGAAUGGCCGACUUCAAUCCUGGAUUUAACACUAUAUCCUAUCCCAAACCUAACAUAGAACCCUAUUGCAACCCUUACCCUAUAUUUCAGACAAAAUAAAGCCCAGAGCAAUUGUCGCCAGAGCAACUGUCGCGUUACCUAUUAGCCUCGCAUAAGAACGGAUGCCAUCCAAGUACCAUCGCACCUGUUGCAUUUCAAGUAUACUACACUGGUCAAAAUAAACCUUAUGCAUACUAUGUCAUAAUCUCAAAGCGCCCUCCCUCAGAGGAUAUAGUAAUACAUGUAAACAGAGUUGUCAGAUAUGCGCCAGCUUUAGAUCACCAAUGCAUGCAGGACAAUGGCUUCAGCCUCUAAGAUAGUGGCGCAAUGAUGUCAGUGCAUAAAAGAUCUAUUAGAAUUCUAUUUUCUGAAUUCAGAAUGGUUGAAAGGUCUGUGAAGCCUAGUAUGAUGUUUCUUGAUGUUUGUCUAAUUUCACAUUUUUUAGAUUUAAGAUCACCACACAAUAUUCAGUGUCUUGGAUGUUCUUGACUUGCAACUAUCAUUGUAAUCAACAUCCAUGGUAGUAAACCUGAAAUAUAAUUUUAAUGUGUUAGCCGUACAAUUAGCAGUGUUACUAAGUUACUCAGGCAAGCUUCUUGUAAACAUAAGAUUUGCACUGGCAACGUUGGAUGCAAGAUUAUACUCCAUACAGGGCCAUUCAGAAAGUGCCGGCUGUUUUCUUCAGUUUUCUGAUGUGCAAAUUGGAACAAUUCCAAUAUUUGGCAAAAUGGGGGUGUGCCUCCCCCCCCCCCUCAAUUCAUGCAUUUUCUGUAAAAGUUAACUACCCAUGUUAUUUGUAUAUUGAAACUUUUUUUUUAAAUAUCGGUGAUGUAAACCGAUUUGUGACUACCACUCAACAACCAACAAACCGGUGCCUUGAAGUUUCUUCGUCAAUAGCCAAAAUAGUAAUUUGGACAAACUAAAUAUGAAUUAGUUUAUCUCAUAGAGUACUCUUUCUUUGACACCAUUUUUUCUGGACUACAUGUAUGUGCACAUAUCAUGCUCCAGUGAGCCCUAAACUGCAAACUUCAUUUUCAGAUGUUUUGAAGCCUCUCACUGAAUUAGUCCUGCUUUAAUCAAGUACUUUCUGGGUGAUGUUGAUCAAUUUUGACAAGAAAUAUAAUUAUACACUGUAUAAUUUCAAGGCUUAUGAAGUGCUUUUACUAGAUCAAUAAAUAUCUCAAAAUUCAUUUCGGGUGACUUAUUGUUGGUUUAGGGGUGGCAGGUCACAAAGCAGCCACUAAAAAAAAAUAAUUCACAACAAUUACACAGAAUAUUGUUUAAACGUAAUUCAAGGCAUUCAUAUCUUUGCCAGAAAUGGUUAAAUUUGAUGAACCAUCAGCUUGUGCAGAAUCAAUUAAUUCAUCAGCUCAACUUCUAUAUUUUUCAUGAAGCAUACUACUCAGACAAUGUAAUCUUAUGUGUUUUCUUUCAAUUAAAAUAUUAAUUCACUAGAUGUA